This 503-nucleotide ribosomal RNA is filed under the name uncultured bacterium. RNAcentral's name for it is "partial 16S ribosomal RNA". It matches the Rfam family "Bacterial small subunit ribosomal RNA", at positions 30 to 523 of the family's 1533-position model. The record is from RNAcentral.
AUUGAACGCUGGCGGCAGGCUUAACACAUGCAAGUCGAGCGGGGUGAUGGUGCUUGCACUAUCACUUAGCGGCGGACGGGUGAGUAAUGCUUAGGAAUCUGCCUAUUAGUGGGGGACAACAUCUCGAAAGGGAUGCUAAUACCGCAUACGUCCUACGGGAGAAAGCAGGGGAUCACUUGUGACCUUGCGCUAAUAGAUGAGCCUAAGUCGGAUUAGCUAGUUGGUGGGGUAAAGGCCUACCAAGGCGACGAUCUGUAGCGGGUCUGAGAGGAUGAACAGCCACACUGGGAAUGAGAGACGGCCGAGACGCCUACGGGGGGCAGCAGUUGGGAAUAUUGGACAAUGGGGGGAACCCUGAUCCAGCCAUGCCGCGUGUGUGAAGAAGGCCUUAUGGUUGUAAAGCACUUUAAGCGAGGAGGAGGCUCUUUUGGUUAAUACCCAAGAUGAGCGGACGUUACUCGCAGAAUAAGCACCGGCUAACUCUGUGCCAGCAGCCGCAGUAA